Molecule: ribosomal RNA, 451 nt
Filed under: uncultured bacterium
Lineage: Bacteria
Description: bacterial SSU rRNA
Rfam family: Bacterial small subunit ribosomal RNA
Source: RNAcentral
GUGGGGAAUUUUGCGCAAUGGGCGAAAGCCUGACGCAGUAACGCCGCGUGGAGGAUGAAGGCCUUCGGGUUGUAAACUCCUGUCAGGGGGAACGACGGGGAAAGGAUGAUAAGUUCUUUCUUCCAGACGGUACCUCCAAAGGAAGCCCCGGCUAAUUCCGUGCCAGCAGCCGCGGUAAUACGGAAGGGGCAAGCGUUGUUCGGAAUUAUUGGGCGUAAAGGGCGCGUAGGUGGUUUUGUAUGUCUAUCGUGAAAGGGUACAGCUCAACUGUAGCGAGUCGGUAGAAACUGCAGGACUUGAGGCUGGGAGGGGCUGGUGGAAUUCCCUGUGUAGCGGUGAAAUGCGUAGAGAUGGGGGAGAACACUCGUGGCGAAGGCGGCCAGCUAGACCAGUUCUGACACUGAGGCGCGAUAGCGUGGGGAGCAAACAGGAUUAGAAACCCGUGUAGUCC